UGGGGAAUUUUGCACAAUGGACGCAAGUCUGAUGCAGCGACGCCGCGUGAGGGAUGGAGGCCUUCGGGUUGUGAACCUCUUUCGCUCAUGGUCAAGCCGCACGUGUGCGUGUGGUGAGGGUAGUGGGUAAAGAAGCGCCGGCUAACUACGUGCCAGCAGCCGCGGUAAUACGUAGGGCGCGAGCGUUGUCCGGAAUUAUUGGGCGUAAAGGGCUUGUAGGCGGUUGGUUGCGUCUGCCGUGAAAUCCUCUGGCUUAACUGGGGGCGUGCGGUGGGUACGGGCUGGCUUGAGUGCGGUAGGGGAGACUGGAAUUCCUGGUGUAGCGGUGGAAUGCGCAGAUAUCAGGAGGAACACCGGUGGCGAAGGCGGGUCUCUGGGCCGUUACUGACGCUGAGGAGCGAAAGCGUGGGGAGCGAACAGG
RNAcentral lists this ribosomal RNA (421 nucleotides) under uncultured bacterium. RNAcentral's name for it is "bacterial SSU rRNA". It matches the Rfam family "Bacterial small subunit ribosomal RNA", at positions 355 to 776 of the family's 1533-position model. The record is from RNAcentral. RNAcentral also lists the same sequence under 1 other name.